Molecule: long non-coding RNA, 3838 nt
Filed under: Fragaria vesca (wild strawberry)
Lineage: Eukaryota; Viridiplantae; Streptophyta; Magnoliopsida; Rosales; Rosaceae
Description: long non-coding RNA (FVES_LNC001307)
Source: RNAcentral
UAGACAAGUUUGUUUCUCUUGUCCCACUGAAAAACAUAAUGUUAAAGUUAGACAUGAACAUGACAUUAUCCCAAAAAUCUGAUUCCCAACACAAACACAAAUAGAUAUCAAUGAUAUGAGAUACAUCUAUGAUAUGAGAUAUCAAAUAGUAGUUCAAAUUUCUAAAGAGUAAAGAAGGGUAACACAAAUUUUGCUCACUUUUAGUCUAACAUAUCAAUGAUAUGAGAUACAUCUAGCAAAUGCAAUGAUAUUAACAUACCAAUGAAUGCAAACUCUAUCAAAUAAUCCAUAUAUACAAUCUGCUCAUCCAUAAAAGAAAACCAUGUGUAUAUUGAAAAGUCUGAAAUCAUAUCCAAGGUUCAAGACACAAGAAUAGCCAAAUAAUGCCAUGAUAUACUUCUACUAGUGGAGGAAACCUAUUUACAGAUAAUCAGUAAACCAAACCUUCAAUUAAUUGGGGAAAUGGAUGAUUUUACGAGAUCUUUUUUAGUUGAUCAGAUAACACAAAAAAAGAAGGAAAAUAAGUAGUUAAAUAAUCGGAAAACAGGCAAGUGAAGUGAAGAUCAAGUCACUCUCAUCAACUCAAACAAGCAAAUAAAGUAUCAACAUUUCAACAAAACAUGGAUGCAAACAAUAAAAUGAUAGUAAUUUCAAAUACUAGUUGUUUGUGAGUGAAAGAAGAGUGAAAAAAAACCUCUCGAAGUCAUCGAAAAUGACGGUGUCAGGAACUAUCUCACUAAAGAACAAUCUAAUACAGUUUGACAGACUGUAGUACAGAAACAAGAAAUAAGUCUGUUUUCCUUAAGUGGACUGAAAGUGGUAAAACCAAAUGUUAAAACAUAACUAUAUCCACAUAGAAUACAAAGGAAAGAAUAAAGAUAAGCACUUAAGAACUAGAACACAACUGCAUCCCAAUAAUAAAGAAGGCCUGAAGAGAGUAAUCUUUAAACUCUUGAAAAGACCGAUGCCAAGAGAGAUGCCCAAAAAUGAACCCUUUCCCACAUCCUCACAAGUUUCCUCAAAAAUUUAUUUGUGCCUAUCCCUCCAAAUCAUCUAAAGGGUAGCCAGCAAAGCACAUCUACCCAAUACUAGACAACUUUUCAUUCCUCCGAACAAUUUGCAAAAGAUAAAAUGUAAAUAAGUGCACUCACAGCAGUGAAGUUGAAUGGCUCCAUUGGAUUCCAACAAAUAGAAUUGGUAUUUGUCUGUCAAAAGAAAAUACAAUUAGUUAGAAGCGCAAAGCUCCCCUUCAAGAAACAAGGUUUACUAAUUUGUUAUUUGACCUUUUUUAAGACUCUGAACACGAAUACCUGCACAAAUUAUUAAAAGAAGGUUUAAUUGAGAAUUUGAGAUAGAUAAGCCAAGAAAUUUGCAUCUUAUGAGCCGGAUAUAACUAUAUCCAAUUUACAAACCAAUGGAAAUACAUAUAUAUUUACUACUUGUAUCACUAGAAGGCCUUACUAAAGAGAAAUUUGGAAGUAGAAUAUGCCUAAGCUAAAAUAUUGGUAUGGAAUAUAGGCCUUACCAUACCAAUAUAUUAUCGAGGAAACCUAUAUUCUACCAAGGUCAUUAAACUUGCAAGUCAGAUAGCUCAUGAAAUAAACAAAAUCAGUAACACAAUAGAAACCUAAUUGGCUCACCAAAUACCUAUGUGUUAUCCUUUGUUUUCAUCUUAGCUGCCAGCUUCUAUUUUGGACAGGGGAGAUGCACAUUAUAGGGUUAAUCAAGCCAUACACAUUAUAGUUUAAGCAAUCAAAUACAUAGAACUCCAAUUAAGACUCAGCUAGGAUGCUAAACAGAAGAUACAAUAACAAACCAAAACAGUUCCACAUAAUUACACAACAACACAAUCUAACUUUCUGAACCAGUCACCUUAACUUCAAAAACUGUACAAAACUGUUUAGAAUUGGACUUCGAGUUCUUCUAAAGAUUUACAGUAGACACAGUAAAGAAACACUGAGAGUUGGAAUCACCUUAAAACGAUUUUUCUUGAAUUAGUUAUGGAUUUUCAAAGUUCAGUACAGCUUCAGGUUUUUCUGAAAUUUCUUGCUAAGUGCCUAUUUCAAGUAAUUGAAAGCAAAACAUACAAACUAUAUGGUACAAAGCUUCUAGCAACUAAAUAUAAAGACUCCAAUGUUUUAACAUACAGAAAGCACAUGAAACAUUCAAUGAAAAAGGCUGACAUUAAAUGACACAAAGACAACUAGAAAGAAGCAACAUGUAAGUCAUAAAUUUCUCAUCUUUCAACUAACUUUAAGCAACCCAAAUCUUUGAUCUCUAAUUUCAAUUUGAAAAACAAAUAACAUGUAUAAGAACCUUAUAAUCUAAUCUAUACAUCUGUAUAACAUCAUAUCAAAUCGAGCAAGAAUCAAAGACAAACACUAAGACUAAAAACAAAGGACUGAAAUAAGAAAAUGCCUUACUAAGUAUCUGACCAUAAAUAUAUUUGACCAAAAACAGUACAGUUCGGCUGGGAAUACAAGGUUGGCGUCUUCAUAACAAUUGUAGUACACAUCCUAAAGAUCAAUCAAGAAUUGGAAUCGCAACAAAAAGACUUUUUUACAAUUAUUUAUGAUUUUUCAAAGUUACUGAUAUGAAUCAGCAAAAUAACAGAUUUUGACUCAAAAUCAUGUUUCUCCUUUUCAAAGAUAGUUCCCAGUAACAACAAAAAAAUCCUAAUCACUUCAUACUAAUAUAAUCCUCCAUGUCAGAUACAUGAACAGAAAUCACAAACAUGAUAUUCUAAAUUCAAUACAUCUAUGAUUGCAUAACAACAAAGAUACAAAGAAACAAAAAAUGCAACUGAAAACAACAAAAUUCUGAUAUCACAAGAUAACUUCUUGACUUUCUGUCUGGUAAACUUUCAGGCUAAAAAUGACACAGUUUGGCUGGGAAUUUAAAGAUGGUGUCUUCACAACAUUUGAAAUAGACAUCCCAAAGAACAAUUUGGAACUGGAAUCACACAAAAAGGAUUUUUCUACAAUUACUUAUGGAAUUUCGAAUUUCAGAUACAGCUCUAGUUUUGUUUUAAAAAAAAUUGCUGAUAUAAGUCUAUCUCAAAUUUUAAGGCAAGUUUCCAAGACCUGGGAUCCUAACAACAACAACCACUGCAUAACUUGAUUUUCUACAAUAGAGAACUGAUUUGGCUAACCAAGGAGUUCAAUAAUCAUGCUUACCACACACUAGAAUUAACUAUCAGGUGAGCCUGUUCAUGAAUUCAUAUUUGUUUGGGUGUGUGNNNNNNNNNNNNNNNNNNNNGAGAGAGAGAGAGAAGGGUACCAUGGUAUCAGCCUCACCUUCUCCAUUUUCAACUCUUCAAUUUGGGGCUCUGGUUUGCACUGCAACUUCCUAUUCCUCUGUCUUCGACCACAAUUUUGAUUUUCAUCUGCAACAAAGGAAGCAAUAGCAUCAGAAAUCAAAAUCCCAAAAUUUAGAAAAUCAAAAUGUUAGGGCAAAGAGGAGACCAUGACGAGAAGAUUACUAGAUUCUCUGACGAUGAUGAUGAAAAACACAUACGAUUCCAUAUCAAGAUUGUUGCGACGACAUCAGCGACAUCAUCAUGUCCAGGAAAGAAUCGAUCUGAAAUCAAAAUUGGGUUUUUGAAAUUAGGGGAGAUUGCUGAGAAUGUUAUGGUUAGGGGCUGAGUGAGAGAGAAGUGAUUGAGGGCUCACGCGGGUGUUAGGGAGAGAUAGCUGAGGGCUCGAGAGUUUGCUGAGAGAGAGAGGCUGGGUGUUUAGAGAGAGAGCUAUGUGUUUUUGGGAUGGAGAGAGCUCAGAGGCGCGAGGGAAUGAACAAGAAUGUUAUAUGUGGCUUGAAUGGUUGAGAGAGUGUGAUGUCG